This is a non-coding RNA of Cricetulus griseus (Chinese hamster), 993 nucleotides long. The record is from RefSeq and is a predicted model, not a curated record. NCBI's taxonomy places the organism in Eukaryota, Metazoa, Chordata, Mammalia, Rodentia, Cricetidae.
CUCCAGAAACUCAAUACAAAAUGUAACACGGCCAGAAAUGUAGCAAAUACUAUAGAACACUCACUUCAUGUGGACACGGCCCUGGGUUCAAGUCCCAUAGCAGGGAAAGAAAGAGUAACAUGGCCUGACUCUGUAGAGAAAAGUAGGGGCUUAAUAUCCAGCUAUGAUUUGUACAACUAUUGAAGCCAUCAGUCUACACCCCUUAAGCUUCAAUGAAGCCCUCAGACCCACAGGGAAGACUGACUCAGCCAUGUCUCAUGUCUCUUUCUCUGUAAAAGGUCACCUGUUCUGUGGCCAGUUGUGCUGUUCAGAAACCCAAGAACGGAAAACCAGCAACAUCAGUCUUGGAGGCAGGAAGACAGUGUAGGAUGGUCAAGACUUAGUAGGACUUGGAAAGAAUCAAACAUCCUUCUGAAUUUCCAGUCUAGUGUCACUGAGUGACUGGGCACAAGGUGGGCAGAUGGAAUUGCUCCUUCACUAGCAAAGGUCCAAGUGUCACCAAAAUGUCAAACGAUUACUUAUGGGUAAUUGGCCAGGAUAUGACUUGGAUUUAUUCACGUACCCGAAGUACUAUUUCAGUGACCUGGAGUGUGUGCUCAUCCCUCACGGCAUCUUAGUGGACAGAAUUGAGCGUCUGGCAAAGGAUAUAAUGAAAGACAUAGGCUGCCAUGAUAUUCUGGUCCUGUGUGUGCUGAAAGGAGGUUACAAAUUCUGUGCUGAUCUCGUAGAACACCUCAAGAACAUCAGCCGAAACUCAGAUUGAUUUGUCUCUAUGAAGGUUGACUUACUUCAUCAGACUAAAAAGUUACAAGGCAGUGGGAAAUUUGCCCUUCCUGGAGUCUCAUCUUGGACCUAGAGUGAAGACACAAGACUUCAGUAUUUUAGAGUUCACCAGCUCUUAGGGAUAUUGGAUCUGUUCAAAGCAGUGUGUGUCCCCAGGCAGGAAGUGACAUAGCAAGGAGACUCAUAUUUAAGGAAGGACAAGCAGGAAGU